AGAACGAACGCUGGCGGCAGGCUUAACACAUGCAAGUCGAACGCUCGUAGCAAUACGGGAGUGGCAGACGGGUGAGUAACGCGUGGGAACCUUCCCUGUGGUACGGAAUAACUUCGGGAAACCGAAGCUAAUACCGUAUAUCUCCUCCGGGAGAAAGAUUUAUCGCCAUAGGAUGGGCCCGCGUUGGAUUAGCUAGUUGGUGAGGUAACGGCUCACCAAGGCAACGAUCCAUAGCUGGUCUGAGAGGAUGAUCAGCCACACUGGGACUGAGACACGGCCCAGACUCCUACGGGAGGCAGCAGUGGGGAUAUUGGACAAUGGGCGCAAGCCUGAUCCAGCAAUGCCGCGUGAGUGAAGAAGGCCUUAGGGUUGUAAAGCUCUUUUGGCGGGGACGAUAAUGACGGUACCCGCAGAAUAAGCCCCGGCUAACUUCGUGCCAGCAGCCGC
RNAcentral lists this ribosomal RNA (447 nucleotides) under uncultured bacterium. Its description in RNAcentral is "SSU rRNA". It matches the Rfam family "Bacterial small subunit ribosomal RNA", at positions 26 to 518 of the family's 1533-position model. The record is from RNAcentral.